Molecule: ribosomal RNA, 801 nt
Filed under: uncultured bacterium
Lineage: Bacteria
Description: bacterial SSU rRNA
Rfam family: Bacterial small subunit ribosomal RNA
Source: RNAcentral
CUCCCUGAUGUUAGCGGCGGACGGGUGAGUAACACGUGGGUAACCUGCCUGUAAGACUGGGAUAACUCCGGGAAACCGGGGCUAAUACCGGAUGGUUGUUUGAACUGCAUGGUUCAAACAUAAAAGGUGGCUUCGGCUACCACUUACAGAUGGACCCGCGGCGCAUUAGCUAGUUGGUGAGGUAACGGCUCACCAAGGCAACGAUGCGUAGCCGACCUGAGAGGGUGAUCGGCCACACUGGGACUGAGACACGGCCCAGACUCCUACGGGAGGCAGCAGUAGGGAAUCUUCCGCAAUGGACGAAAGUCUGACGGAGCAACGCCGCGUGAGUGAUGAAGGUUUUCGGAUCGUAAAGCUCUGUUGUUAGGGAAGAACAAGUACCGUUCGAAUAGGGCGGUACCUUGACGGUACCUAACCAGAAAGCCACGGCUAACUACGUGCCAGCAGCCGCGGUAAUACGUAGGUGGCAAGCGUUGUCCGGAAUUAUUGGGCGUAAAGGGCUCGCAGGCGGUUUCUUAAGUCUGAUGUGAAAGCCCCCGGCUCAACCGGGGAGGGUCAUUGGAAACUGGGGAACUUGAGUGCAGAAGAGGAGAGUGGAAUUCCACGUGUAGCGGUGAAAUGCGUAGAGAUGUGGAGGAACACCAGUGGCGAAGGCGACUCUCUGGUCUGUAACUGACGCUGAGGAGCGAAAGCGUGGGGAGCGAACAGGAUUAGAUACCCUGGUAGUCCACGCCGUAAACGAUGAGUGCUAAGUGUUAGGGGGUUUCCGCCCCUUAGUGCUGCAGCUAACGCAUUAAGCAC